Molecule: unclassified non-coding RNA, 357 nt
Filed under: plant metagenome
Description: partial contains 5.8S ribosomal RNA, internal transcribed spacer 2, and large subunit ribosomal RNA
Rfam family: 5.8S ribosomal RNA (bases 1-105)
Source: RNAcentral
GAAAUGCGAUAAGUAAUGUGAAUUGCAGAAUCUCGUGAAUCAUCGAAUCUUUGAACGCACAUUGCGCCCUAUGGUAUUCCGUAGGGCAUGCCUGUUCGAGCGUCAUUUAAAGCCCCUCGGCGGCCGGUUUCUUUUUAACUCGCGCCGCCGGCGUUGGCGCUCCGCUUGGCCCCGUGCUUGCGGGCCAGGCGGGCUGCCCAAAUGCAGCGGCGGACCGUUCCGGGCCUCCCAGCGCAGUAGCAAUAGCCUCGCUGCGGAAGGAAGGGACGGCUUCUGGCCCCAUUCGUCGACAUUUUCGUCGUCGACUUUUCAAGAGCUUGACCUCGGAUCAGGUAGGACUACCCGCUGAACUUAAGC